RNAcentral lists this ribosomal RNA (158 nucleotides) under Alternaria sp. Its description in RNAcentral is "5.8S ribosomal RNA". It matches the Rfam family "5.8S ribosomal RNA". Rfam says of the family: 5.8S ribosomal RNA (5.8S rRNA) is a component of the large subunit of the eukaryotic ribosome. It is transcribed by RNA polymerase I as part of the 45S precursor that also contains 18S and 28S rRNA. Lineage: Eukaryota; Fungi; Ascomycota; Dothideomycetes; Pleosporales; Pleosporaceae. The record is from RNAcentral.
CAACUUUCAACAACGGAUCUCUUGGUUCUGGCAUCUAUGAAGAACGCAUCGAAAAGCUAUACGUAUCGUGAAUUGCAUAAUUCACUGAAUCACCCAAUCUUUGAACGCACAUUGCGCCCUUUGGUAUUCCAAAGGGCAUGCCUGUUCCAGCGUCAUUG